Molecule: long non-coding RNA, 243 nt
Filed under: Hordeum vulgare
Lineage: Eukaryota; Viridiplantae; Streptophyta; Magnoliopsida; Poales; Poaceae
Description: long non-coding RNA (HVUL_LNC011412)
Source: RNAcentral
UAUUUGUCGUGUCAGUUGUACCAGAUGGUGCAUCGGUGACGAUUUAGCCACAAAGACAUGCACAUUCCUUUCUAACCAAAGCUUCCUAAAACCAACAAUGAUGAUCGUUGAUGCUUCUCGGAUUUUAGACCGGCAAUUGUCUCGCAGUGGAGCACCAGUGCACCCUAGCCAAGUUAUCUUGAGAUUGAGAAGGAGCAAGAAGCCCAAGUCUGACUGUAGCUAGAAGCAUAAACCAGAACUGUC